RNAcentral lists this ribosomal RNA (445 nucleotides) under uncultured bacterium. RNAcentral's name for it is "bacterial SSU rRNA". It matches the Rfam family "Bacterial small subunit ribosomal RNA", at positions 355 to 825 of the family's 1533-position model. The record is from RNAcentral.
UGGGGAAUAUUGGACAAUGGGCGAAAGCCUGAUCCAGCCAUGCCGCGUGAGUGACGAAGGCCUUAGGGUUGUAAAACUCUUUCGUCGGGGACGAUAAUGACGGUACCCGAAGAAGAAGCUCCGGCUAACUUCGUGCCAGCAGCCGCGGUAAUACGAAGGGAGCUAGCGUUGUUCGGAAUCACUGGGCGUAAAGCGCACGUAGGCGGAUAGUUAAGUCAGGGUGAAAUCCUGGGGCUCAACCCCAGAACUGCCUUUGAUACUGGCUGUCUCGAGGUCGAGAGAGGUUGGUGGAAUUCCUAGUGUAGAGGUGAAAUUCGUAGAUAUUAGGAAGAACACCAGUGGCGAAGGCGGCCAACUGGCUCGAUACUGACGCUGAGGUGCGAAAGCGUGGGGAGCAAACAGGAUUAGAUACCCUGUAGUCCCUGAGCGGGCUGGCAAGGCGCAU